RNAcentral lists this transfer RNA (75 nucleotides) under Lachnospiraceae bacterium. Its description in RNAcentral is "tRNA-Ile". It matches the Rfam family "tRNA". From Rfam's summary of the family: Transfer RNA (tRNA) molecules are approximately 80 nucleotides in length. Their secondary structure includes four short double-helical elements and three loops (D, anti-codon, and T loops). Further hydrogen bonds mediate the characteristic L-shaped molecular structure. tRNAs have two regions of fundamental functional importance: the anti-codon, which is responsible for specific mRNA codon recognition, and the 3' end, to which the tRNAs corresponding amino acid is attached (by aminoacyl-tRNA synthetases). tRNAs cope with the degeneracy of the genetic code in two manners: having more than one tRNA (with a specific anti-codon) for a particular amino acid; and 'wobble' base-pairing, i.e. permitting non-standard base-pairing at the 3rd anti-codon position. The record is from RNAcentral. Lineage: Bacteria; Bacillati; Bacillota; Clostridia; Lachnospirales; Lachnospiraceae.
AGCAGUAUAGUGCAGAGGUAGCACGGGACUCUAAUACAGUCUAAGUCACGGGUUCGAAUCCCGUUACUGUUUCCA